Molecule: long non-coding RNA, 386 nt
Filed under: Homo sapiens (human)
Lineage: Eukaryota; Metazoa; Chordata; Mammalia; Primates; Hominidae
Description: non-protein coding lnc-SPNS3-1:8
Source: RNAcentral
CUCCAUACCCCUAUAUCCACAUGACUCAGCUCCGUACCCCUAUAUCCACGACUCAGCUCCAUAUCCCUAUAUCCACAACUCAGCUCCGUACCCCUAUAUUCACAUGACUCAGCUCCGUACCCCUAUAUCCACGACUCAGCUCCGUACCCCUAUAUCCACAUGACUCAGCUCCGUACCCCUAUAAUCCACAUGACUCAGCUCCGUACCCCUAUAUCCACGACCCAGCUCCGUACCCCUAUAAUCCACAUGACUCAGCUCCGUACCCCUGUAUCCACAUGACUCAGCGCCGUACCCCUGUAUCCACGACUCGGCUCCAUACCCCGAUAUCCACGACUCGGCUCUGUGCCCCUAUAUCCACAACUCAGCGCUGUACCCCUACAUUCACG